This 1196-nucleotide ribosomal RNA is filed under the name Triticum aestivum (bread wheat). Its description in RNAcentral is "partial small subunit ribosomal RNA". Lineage: Eukaryota; Viridiplantae; Streptophyta; Magnoliopsida; Poales; Poaceae. The record is from RNAcentral.
GGAGAGGAGCAUCCAAUACAGUAAAUAAUUUAUUCUCAUUUCUGAAUGCAAGCAAGCAGAAAAAAGCAUUCAUUAUAAGGCCCAUAAACUCAGGGGAAUGAUAAAUGAUACCAGGACAUGGUCCACCAAGAUAUGGCAACUCUAGUUGUGUAACAGUGCGAUGCAUGAUAGGACAUGAUCCAGUUCAGAUGUUACGCACAGACAAAUAUACAGGCAGUUAUAAUUUUACUGAAACCACACAAUAGUCCAGACCUUUAAUAGACAAAACUCUACAUCCUAGCUAAUUCACAUCAAGAAUAGAACAAGCGGAAGAAUGGAAGGGUCUCAAUCUCAUCCUGUUCUUCUCGAGGAUAAUGGCAUCGACGUCGAUCAGGCAGGAGAUGUGCCGACUACAAUGUCCAGAUCAAAGAAAUUAGUCUGACAAUCAUAUGUGCCGUGUUAAGAGGUCUGAAUGUAACAUCAAUUUCUAGCUCCCAACUAUGAAAAAUAACAAUCAUAAAAUUUAUUCAGUUUCAUCGCAGGUCUAUUAUUUGGAUUUAACAUUAUGCCUUAAAUAUAAUGCAAGAGUACAAUUGUCCAGUUCAUUCGUGUCUAUGGCGGCUUCAAUUGGCACUGCAAACAUUACCAAUUUUAAUAUUUAUCUUUGUUAAUGUGAGCAACUGAGCUAUGUUCCGAACUGUUCUAAAAAGUAGAUGGUCAAUCCAAUGUAUUCUGUUUGUACAUCAACAUUUGACACGCCCAACUCGCUGUAUAUGUCAUUUACCGGAUGUUGAAAUUACAGUUUGUAUCUUUGUUCUGACGCUAUACUUGAAAUCUUUAUGUUUUCAAGAAAUAAUCUAUUACACUUCUACAAAGGUAUGAAAAUGUACAAUUCUGUUUGCGGACAUGCUUCUUCUACUUCUAUUUAAGGAUUGCAUUAAAUAUUAUUUUAGAAGAUAACACCGACCAAAUAUCUGAGAAUGCAUUAGUACGUACAUGAUAAUUAAAAUGUAAAUAUUCAGACCAAAACAUCAGAUCAAUGGAGAUUAUAUUCACAUAAACUUGACUGAAAUUAAAUUGGAAAAAGCCAUGUAGUACAAGACGACAGCAACAACAGACAUGUAGUGCUAGCUUCCAAGGAUUCAUUUCAGUACAGGAACAAUUCAGGGGGAGUUUUGUUCAAAAUAACAAUCAAGGAGCGGCCAUUUACAUACUGA